This 253-nucleotide ribosomal RNA is filed under the name uncultured bacterium. RNAcentral describes it as "partial 16S ribosomal RNA". It matches the Rfam family "Bacterial small subunit ribosomal RNA", at positions 524 to 776 of the family's 1533-position model. The record is from RNAcentral.
UACGUAGGGUGCAGGCGUUGAUCGGAAUUACUGGGCGUAAAGCGUGCGCAGGCGGUUUGUUAAGUCAGAUGUGAAAGCCCCGGGCUUAACCUGGGAACUGCGUUUGAAACUGGGAGACUUGAGUGCGGCAGAGGGGGGUGGAAUUCCGCGUGUAGCAGUGAAAUGCGUAGAUAUGCGGUGGAACACCGAUGGCGAAGGCAAUCCCCUGGGCCGGCACUGACGCUCAGGCACGAAAGCGUGGGGAGCAAACAGG